CAGUCGCCACGGGAAUACGAAGGGGGCUAGCGUUGUUCGGAAUUACUGGGCGUAAAGCGCACGUAGGCGGAUACUUAAGUUAGGGGUGAAAUCCCAGGGCUCAACCCUGGAACUGCCUUUAAUACUGGGUAUCUUGAGUUCGAGAGAGGUGAGUGGAAUUCCGAGUGUAGAGGUGAAAUUCGUAGAUAUUCGGAGGAACACCAGUGGCGAAGGCGGCUCACUGGCUCGAUACUGACGCUGAGGUGCGAAAGCGUGGGGAGCAAACAGGAUUAGAUACCCCGGUAGUCCCUGUCUCUUAUAC
This 301-nucleotide ribosomal RNA is filed under the name uncultured bacterium. Its description in RNAcentral is "partial 16S ribosomal RNA". It matches the Rfam family "Bacterial small subunit ribosomal RNA", at positions 509 to 807 of the family's 1533-position model. The record is from RNAcentral.